GUCGAACGGGAUCCAGUGGUAGCUUGCUAUCAUUGGUGAGAGUGGCGCACGGGUGCGUAACGCGUGAGCAACCUACCCAUAUCAGGGGGAUAGCCCGAAGAAAUUCGGAUUAACACCGCAUAAGACUAUAACCCGGCAUCGGGCAGUAGUUAAAUAUUUAUAGGAUAUGGAUGGGCUCGCGUGACAUUAGCUAGUUGGUGAGGUAACGGCUCACCAAGGCGACGAUGUCUAGGGGCUCUGAGAGGAGAAUCCCCCACACUGGUACUGAGACACGGACCAGACUCCUACGGGAGGCAGCAGUAAGGAAUAUUGGUCAAUGGACGCAAGUCUGAACCAGCCAUGCCGCGUGCAGGAUGACUGCCCUAUGGGUUGUAAACUGCUUUUGUUAGGGAAUAAACCCAUCUACGAGUAGAUGGCUGAAUGUACCUAAAGAAUAAGGAUCGGCUAACUCCGUGCCAGCAGCCGCGGUAAUACGGAGGAUCCGAGCGUUAUCCGGAUUUAUUGGGUUUAAAGGGUGCGUAGGCGGCACUUUAAGUCAGGGGUGAAAGACGGCAGCUUAACUGUCGCAGUGCCUUUGAUACUGAAGUGCUUGAAUGCGGUUGAAGACGGCGGAAUGAGACAAGUAGCGGUGAAAUGCAUAGAUAUGUCUCAGAACACCGAUUGCGAAGGCAGCUGUCUAAGCCGUUAUUGACGCUGAUGCACGAAAGCGUGGGGAUCGAACAGGAUUAGAUACCCUGGUAGUCCACGCCCUAAACGAUGAUAACUCGAUGUUUGCAAUAUACCGUAAGCGUCCAAGCGAAAGCGUUAAGUUAUCCACCUGGGGAGUACGCCCGCAAGGGUGAAACUCAAAGGAAUUGACGGGGGCCCGCACAAGCGGAGGAGCAUGUGGUUUAAUUCGAUGAUACGCGAGGAACCUUACCCGGGCUUGAAAGUUACUGAAGGAUGCAGAGACGCAUCCGUCCUUCGGGACAGGAAACUAGGUGCUGCAUGGCUGUCGUCAGCUCGUGCCGUGAGGUGUUGGGUUAAGUCCCGCAACGAGCGCAACCCCUAUGUUUAGUUGCCAGCAUUUAAGGUGGGGACUCUAAACAGACUGCCUG
RNAcentral lists this ribosomal RNA (1097 nucleotides) under Sphingobacterium sp. RNAcentral's name for it is "bacterial SSU rRNA". It matches the Rfam family "Bacterial small subunit ribosomal RNA", at positions 61 to 1155 of the family's 1533-position model. The record is from RNAcentral. Lineage: Bacteria; Pseudomonadati; Bacteroidota; Sphingobacteriia; Sphingobacteriales; Sphingobacteriaceae.